Molecule: transfer RNA, 72 nt
Filed under: Bos taurus (domestic cattle)
Lineage: Eukaryota; Metazoa; Chordata; Mammalia; Artiodactyla; Bovidae
Also listed under: 3 other names
Rfam family: tRNA
About the family: Transfer RNA (tRNA) molecules are approximately 80 nucleotides in length. Their secondary structure includes four short double-helical elements and three loops (D, anti-codon, and T loops). Further hydrogen bonds mediate the characteristic L-shaped molecular structure. tRNAs have two regions of fundamental functional importance: the anti-codon, which is responsible for specific mRNA codon recognition, and the 3' end, to which the tRNAs corresponding amino acid is attached (by aminoacyl-tRNA synthetases). tRNAs cope with the degeneracy of the genetic code in two manners: having more than one tRNA (with a specific anti-codon) for a particular amino acid; and 'wobble' base-pairing, i.e. permitting non-standard base-pairing at the 3rd anti-codon position.
Source: Rfam by way of RNAcentral
UCCCUGGUGGCUCAGAUGGUAAAGCAUCUGCCUGCAAUGCAGGAGACCUGGGUUCUAUUCCUGGGUUGGGAA